CCGGGAAAUCAAGAAACGA
This 19-nucleotide small nuclear RNA is filed under the name Arabidopsis thaliana (thale cress). Its description in RNAcentral is "snRNA_11160". Lineage: Eukaryota; Viridiplantae; Streptophyta; Magnoliopsida; Brassicales; Brassicaceae. The record is from RNAcentral.